AUUGAACGCUGGCGGCAUGCUUUACACAUGCAAGUCGAACGGCAGCGGGGAGGAGCUUGCUUCUCUGCCGGCGAGUGGCGAACGGGUGAGUAAUACAUCGGAACGUGUCGAGAAGAGGGGGAUAACCACCCGAAAGGGUGGCUAAUACCGCAUAAAUUCUGAGGAAGAAAGCUGGGGACCUGGGAAUAGGCCUAGCGCUUUUUGAGCGGCCGAUGUCGGAUUAGCUAGUUGGUGAGGUAAAGGCUCACCAAGGCGAAGAUCUGUAGCGGGUCUGAGAGGAUGAUCCGCCACACUGGGACUGAGACACGGCCCAGACUCCUACGGGAGGCAGCAGUGGGGAAUUUUGGACAAUGGGGGCAACCCUGAUCCAGCCAUGCCGCGUGUAUGAAGAAGGCCUUAGGGUUGUAAAGUACUUUUGUUAGGGAAGAAAAGUCAGCUGUGAAUAAUGGCUGAUACUGACGGUACCUAAAGAAUAAGCACCGGCUAACUACGUGCCAGCAGCCGCGGUAAUACGUAGGGUGCGAGCGUUAAUCGGAAUUAUUGGGCGUAAAGCGAGUGUAGACGGUUAUUUAAGCCAGAUGUGAAAUACCCGAGCCUAACUUGGGAGGUGCAUAUGGAACUGGGUAGCUAGAGUGUGUCAGAGGGAGGUAGAACUCCACGUGUAGCAGUGAAAUGCGUAGAGAUGUGGAAGAAUACCGAUGGCGAAGGCAGCCUCCUGGGAUAACACUGACGUUGAGGCUCGAAAGCGUGGGGAGCAAACAGG
Molecule: ribosomal RNA, 763 nt
Filed under: uncultured Neisseriaceae bacterium
Lineage: Bacteria; Pseudomonadati; Pseudomonadota; Betaproteobacteria; Neisseriales; Neisseriaceae
Description: bacterial SSU rRNA
Rfam family: Bacterial small subunit ribosomal RNA
Source: RNAcentral